CGGAAUUGGUAGACGCUACGGACUUAAAAUCCGUUGGCUUUAUAGACCGUGAGGGUUCAAGUCCCUCUAUCCCCA
RNAcentral lists this transfer RNA (75 nucleotides) under Pinus densiflora. RNAcentral's name for it is "partial tRNA-Leu". It matches the Rfam family "tRNA", at positions 11 to 71 of the family's 71-position model. Rfam says of the family: Transfer RNA (tRNA) molecules are approximately 80 nucleotides in length. Their secondary structure includes four short double-helical elements and three loops (D, anti-codon, and T loops). Further hydrogen bonds mediate the characteristic L-shaped molecular structure. tRNAs have two regions of fundamental functional importance: the anti-codon, which is responsible for specific mRNA codon recognition, and the 3' end, to which the tRNAs corresponding amino acid is attached (by aminoacyl-tRNA synthetases). tRNAs cope with the degeneracy of the genetic code in two manners: having more than one tRNA (with a specific anti-codon) for a particular amino acid; and 'wobble' base-pairing, i.e. permitting non-standard base-pairing at the 3rd anti-codon position. Lineage: Eukaryota; Viridiplantae; Streptophyta; Pinopsida; Pinales; Pinaceae. The record is from RNAcentral. RNAcentral also lists the same sequence under 3 other names.